This 668-nucleotide long non-coding RNA is filed under the name Gopherus agassizii (Agassiz's desert tortoise). RNAcentral describes it as "lncRNA (ENSGAGG00000018436.1)". Lineage: Eukaryota; Metazoa; Chordata; Testudines; Testudinidae. The record is from RNAcentral.
CUCCUGUUUCCCUGCAGCGCAGCCCCCGGAGGCGGGAGGGGGGCAUCCCCUAGGGACACUGCUCUCUGUGGCUUCCCCUCCACACCUCGCGGGGGGGGGGGUGUAGCGGGAGGCCGUUAGACGGCGGGGCAGGGCUGGCCCCGCUUAUGUAAUAACAGGCAACCCCAGGGAGAGGCGCAGAGCCUCACCGAGGAGAACACGGACGAGAGCCCUGCCCUCCGUGAGCCCCCCAGGGCUGCCCAGGAUGGAGGUGCCCUGAGAAGGCCCCCCCCAGCUUGCAGUACGGACCACGCUCGGCUGCCCCAGCACCUCGGGGUCCUCCGGGAAGGAGCCACCGUGAGGGAGACGGGGAAAAGAGUGAGAGCCCCACACGCCCCCCGGCUGGGGAUCCCAGGCAGAAUUUCCCUACCACGGCCGGUUUUGGGGUGGCCCUUCUGGAGCAGACGCUGGGCAGGGCCUGGGCCGGCAAGAUGCCCCCUUGCCCUCCCCAGCAGGGCCGGACCCGGACAUCACUCCUGCCCGCACCACCGCUGAGUGAGCCUGGCCAGCAGGGAGAGAUGGAGCUGACCUGGCAGGAGAUCAUGUCCAUCGCGGAGCUGCAGGUGAGCCCCGAAUGGAGCCUCUGCUUCCCUCCCCCAGCCAGGCCGCCUUUGGAUCCCAGGCUCCUU